CCUACGGGGGGCAGCAGUGAGGAAUAUUGGUCAAUGGACGGAAGUCUGAACCAGCCAUGCCGCGUGCAGGAAGACGGCUCUAUGAGUUGUAAACUGCUUUUGUACAAGGAUAAACCUGUAUACGUGUAUUCAGCUGAAUGUACUUUACGAAUAAGGAUCGGCUAACUCCGUGCCAGCAGCCGCGGUAAUACGGAGGAUCCAAGCGUUAUCCGGAUUUAUUGGGUUUAAAGGGUGCGUAGGUAGAUCUAUAAGUUAGCGGUGAAAUGUCGUGGCUUAACUCGGGAACUGCCUCUAAUACUGGAGAACGAGAGAGUAGAUGAGGUAGGCGGAAUGUAUGGUGUAGCGGUGAAAUGCUUAGAAAUCAUACAGAACACCGAUUGCGAAGGCAGCUUACCA
This 396-nucleotide ribosomal RNA is filed under the name uncultured bacterium. Its description in RNAcentral is "partial 16S ribosomal RNA". It matches the Rfam family "Bacterial small subunit ribosomal RNA", at positions 338 to 731 of the family's 1533-position model. The record is from RNAcentral.